This is a long non-coding RNA of Schistocerca nitens (vagrant locust), 686 nucleotides long. RefSeq lists it as uncharacterized. The record is from RefSeq and is a predicted model, not a curated record. The transcript has 4 exons. NCBI's taxonomy places the organism in Eukaryota, Metazoa, Arthropoda, Insecta, Orthoptera, Acrididae.
AGCAAAGUGUGGGUUGAUUUGAAACUUCCUGGUGGAUUAAAAAAGUGUACAGCACCAAGACUCGAACCUGGGAUAUUUUCUGAGGCAAGUGACUAUAGUGGAUAUUCAAGUAUGGCUGGCGAAGAUUUGGGAGAGGAAGGCCAAGAUGAUUUAUCCGAAAAUCAUGGGCUACUGCUGCCAUAGCUGUACAGGCCACAGAACAAGAAAAAAGAGAAUCGCAACUCCCGUGUUAAAAGUGGGAAACACAGACUGACAGCAGCGCCUCAAGUGGUACGGAGAUGAACUAAAAUACUUACGUUGAUUCCCAUGGUGUUAGUUUUGUUAUGAAUCUGAUGGCUUUGUUUUGAAGUUUUAAGAUUCUCUGAAUGUGUACAUCUGCUGCUCCUCCCCAUGCUGUACACAGGUGCUCAUAGAACGAGGUUUUCUGUAGAACUGUACAUACUUUCUGUGAGACAAUGUUUCAAAUGCCUGCGCUGCCAAUACAAAGAGAGGCAAGAUGUGAUGGAGAGCACACAUCAUAGACAUGCUUUUUGGGCAGCGGCAGCUGGAUGUGAACAGCGCGUAGCGUUGCGCAGUUGGAGGUGAGCCACCAGCAGUGGUGGAUGUGGGGAGAGAGAUGGCGGAGUUGUGAAAUUUGUAAGACUGGAUGUCAUGAACUGCUAUGUAUAUUAUGAUUUUUCAACACU